This 441-nucleotide ribosomal RNA is filed under the name uncultured bacterium. RNAcentral's name for it is "partial 16S ribosomal RNA". It matches the Rfam family "Bacterial small subunit ribosomal RNA", at positions 338 to 795 of the family's 1533-position model. The record is from RNAcentral.
CCUACGGGUGGCAGCAGUGGGGAAUAUUGCACAAUGGGGGAAACCCUGAUGCAGCAACGCCGCGUGAGUGAAGAAGGUCUUCUGAUUGGUAAGCUCUGUUAGCAGGGAAGAGGGAUGACGGUACCUGCAGAGGAAGCUACGGCUAACUACGUGCCAGCAGCCGCGGUAAUACGUAGGUGGCAAGCGUUGUUCGGAAUAACUGGGGGUAAAGGAUGCGUAGGCGGUUAAACAAGUUAUAUGUUAAAUAUAUAGGCUGAACCUGUAGAAAGCAUAUAAAACUGUUUAGUGAGAGUGAAGGAGAGGCGAGUGGAAUUCCUAGUGUAGCGGUGAAAUGCGUAGAGAUUAGGAAGAACACCAGUGGCGAAGGCGACUUACUGGACUGUAACUGACGCUGAGGCAUGAGAGCGUGGGGAGCAAACAGGAUUAGAUACCCGGGUAGUC